Molecule: long non-coding RNA, 1931 nt
Organism: Rhea pennata
Lineage: Eukaryota; Metazoa; Chordata; Aves; Rheiformes; Rheidae
Exons: 3
Source: RefSeq, a predicted model, not a curated record
GAGCGGGCGGCGGCGGCCCGCGCGGCACCGGUGGCGGCCCGGGCUCCUGCCGCCGCGACGGAGGCGUUACAGCUAGUGAACCAGCCCGAAGGACGGGGAGGAGAACUUCCCAGCAAGGCAGCUGGGAAGGCUCAGGAGUGCAGCUAGCGAAAGCAAGGGCGUUUGAGGCACCGUGAGCGAGGGCCUGGAGCCGGGGCAGCCCCUAACGAUCCAGCAGAAACACAGGCCUCGGGCUGUGCUGAGGAGAGGGUUUAACGCGCUGUAUGGAAGAACCAACUGCUGGUUUUGCUUUGCUUAAAAAAAAAUAGUGUUCCAAUUCCUACAUAGUCUGUUGAAAAAUGAAAUUAGUUUUGAAAGGUAAAUGCAUCAAACACGCCAAAGUUCUGCCGACUCUGUGGCACAAACCUUUCCAACAGUGCAGUUGAUGCUAAUUUUUAACUGGAGGAGGGAGACAUGUACCAACGCCAAUACUAAGAUGUGUCCGCAUCCUCCCAGCAGACACAAGACCCAGCGUUUUCUGUUCCUGUAGGACAUCCCGAAUUGAGGGCUGGAAGAAAUUCAAGCAAAGAAUCCAGCACGCUGGCUGUGGCCAUCAGGCGAAUCGUAUCGUGAACGCCACUGACUCCACUGAGUAUGCCUGCAUCAGUUACAGCAAGAAACCUGGAUACCUCACUUAGCAAUAAACACCUCGUGGGAGACUGAAAAUCCUUACAAGAAGCUCCCUCUGUGUCAACAGUAGCACCAGUUUCAGAAGCCAUGACUGAAGGAGGGCAGACAAGGAUCAACUAAUGCACCUUUUGAAUCUUCAUGAUACAUAUGCUAUCACAUCUCUAAGACAACAGUCUUCUCUCAGGAGAGCAAGAGAUGAGGAAACAAAUGAGUAAGCUUUCCAAAAAUACAAGAUAUUUUAUCUCCAAAGUAAGACAUCAGUGUAGUUGUACAAAAUAACUAAACUGGCAUCAUAAAUUUGCUUUCUACCGUAAAAAGAAGGAUAGGAAUGUUAUGCACAAAAUGGAAGAAUGGAUACUUUCAUAAGCAUAAUAGCAGACAACAUGUAAAGCAUCAGUCCUUUCUUCCCCACUAUCUACCUGUCACAUCAGCUAUCACAUAAUUAGUGUCUCGCAGGAUACCUUCCUAUCAUCUGCUUUCUUUUUGCUCCCCAAUUUGAAGUUAAGUGAUAGUCCUAGGUCCUCUACAAAGGCAUCCUGUGAGUUGAGUGCAUGUUUUUUUAUAUGAUGACACUUCUACUUGACUCUUAGCUCAAGUUAAGAGCUUUGCAAGCAGAGGUGGCACUACUGCAACACGUCAUGUGUAGGGCGCAGUGGCACUAAUGCAGAUCUUAGUGAACAAGGCAGGGAGGAAUGGCUGCUCUCUACAGCAUCUCCACAGCAGCAUCAAAACAUUUAACAUGUACAUCUUAAAGAACAGCAUCAACUGAAAAAGCUACAUAAACUAAGUGAUGUGUACUCAGUGUAUCCAUUCAGAAAUAGAAAUUUGUCACAUUUAUUUAAGUGAGGUCUGGUUUUGUUCAGCAUUUGCAUAAAUUUAGCUCAAAGUUAAAAAAACAGAAAAAAAAAAGCUGGCAUAAAAUGCAAAAUACUGUCAAGAAUCCUAUUGAUUAUUUUCAGCCCUACAUUUUCUUUGAGCUCUAGUAAUAAAAAGUUGUCUGUGAGAUCUUUGUUCUCCAGAGCAUUCCCACAGAACUCUCUACUAUAAGUAAUUAUUUGUAAGUCUAUGCAUUCAAUGUAUUCUUUUUCCUACUUAUAGAAGCCACAAGUAGUUAAGAACCUAAAUGUGCUAACAUUUGCUUGUUAAAUAUAUACUUCUUGUGAUACACAAUUUACAAACUGUGGUAAGUGUUAAUGUGGAACAUACUGUGAUAGUCAGGGUAUUUAAGGCAGAAGUAAUUUUCUAAUUAAGGGGUAAGGUAA